UACGUAGGUGACCAGCGUUGUCCGGAUUUACUGGGCGUAAAGAGCGCGCAGGCGGUCGUUCAAGUCGAGUGUGAAAGCCCCCGGCUCAACUGGGGAGGGUCACUCGAUACUGAUCGACUUGAAGGCAGGAGAGGGAAGCGGAAUUCCCGGUGUAGUGGUGAAAUGCGUAGAUAUCGGGAGGAACACCAGUGGCGAAAGCGGCCACCUGGACUGCACCUGACGCUGACACGCGAAAGCUAGGGGAGCGAACGGG
This 253-nucleotide ribosomal RNA is filed under the name uncultured bacterium. RNAcentral's name for it is "partial 16S ribosomal RNA". It matches the Rfam family "Bacterial small subunit ribosomal RNA", at positions 524 to 776 of the family's 1533-position model. The record is from RNAcentral.